Molecule: ribosomal RNA, 477 nt
Filed under: uncultured Actinomycetes bacterium
Lineage: Bacteria; Bacillati; Actinomycetota; Actinomycetes
Description: bacterial SSU rRNA
Rfam family: Bacterial small subunit ribosomal RNA
Source: RNAcentral
UGGGGAAUCUUGCGCAAUGGGCGAAAGCCUGACGCAGCGACGCCGCGUGCGGGAAGAAGGCCUUCGGGUUGUAAACCGCUUUCAGGAGGGACGAGGCCACUCGGGUUAAUAGCCCAGAGGGUGACGGUACCUCCAGAAGAAGCCCCGGCUAACUACGUGCCAGCAGCCGCGGUAAUACGUAGGGGGCUAGCGUUGUCCGGAUUUAUUGGGCGUAAAGAGCGCGUAGGCGGCCGAGUAAGUCCGACGUGAAAUCUGGAGGCUCAACCUCCAGCGGUCGUUGGAAACUACUCGGCUAGAGUCCGGAAGAGGAGAGUGGAAUUCCUGGUGUAGCGGUGAAAUGCGGCAGAUAUCAGGAAGAACACCGAUGGCGAAAAGCAGCUCUCUGGGACGGUACUGACGCUGAGGCGCGAAGGCGUGGGGAGCGAACAGGAUUAGAUACCCUGGUAGUCCACGCCGUAAAACGAUGGGUGCAGGUGU